AAAAAUAAGGCAUGUUUAUCUCUCUCAAAUAUUUUUCACAGGUGUUUUCAUUCAAGUGCAUCCAAAGAACCCAACCUGAAUUAACCAGUCUGACUAGGCAGUUUUUAGAUAAAAGCAAGGGCCAGGAGAUGUUCCUGGUUUUGCUGCUGCUCGACAGUGCCCACUGGGAGCCUCAUGCUGCUAUUCACUGAAAGUCAUAGGAAACUGUCCCAAAGAAUUAGCCCCUGCUCUAGCUGGAUCCCUCCUGCCCAUUUAUCAGAGGAUGCCUGAUGAUAUUAGCAACAUCUGAGCAGUACUGGUUCAUCUCCUAUGGUUUAUAUGCAACUACAGAAGGGGCAGUUCGUGACCAGCCACUGCUGAAAGUGAUGCCUGCUCUGUCAUGCUCAUCCUUGCCAUGCUGCCAGCACCCACCGGCAAUGUCUUCUCUUCCUUCAAUCACAGCAAAAGGCAAAUUAGUCAUCUCUUUGCCAUACCUGAGAGAGUAGAUGCCACAAAAUACCUUCAGUGCCAUCUAGCUACUAAGCUACAUGAAGAGAUGAAUUUGCAAGUAGCUCUAAUUGCCACAAGGCUCAUCAGUGGCAUGAUGUCCUGUUGCACCAGCUGAUGCUCUGUCCUCAGGGGCCUAAUCAGGAUGGUCAUGUAAGCCACAAAGAUAAUUUGCAAUCAUAAAAAAUUCUGCUUUGAAUGGAUGUUUAUCUAAAGUAUGGCAAAAUGAAUUCCUCAGAAUGAAGGCUAAAUAAAUAACUACCUUCACACACCCCAAACCCACAGGAUAUUUGUAUAGGCACUCAGUAUCGCCAGCCUCUCUGAGCAAUUUGCCAAGAACAAACAACAACAUUAUUUGGCUUUAGCUUUUGUUUCAUGAAGAUGUAUAGAAGCUAUGAAAAAUAUCACCCUUACUGUCUAUUUGUCUUGGGUUUCAUGACAUGUCUUCAGAAUUACAUGGACCCAUUUUACUAGCGAUGACUUUACUGACCAUCUAUGAUGACUCCACCCAUGAUGUAUGUCCACACCACAGCCAAACAUACGUUCUGACAGGCUGGUGGCAGGCUGGGAAGAGGGUGGAUACCAAGUGGCAUAGCAAACCCGUACCUUUCCCUGGGUAACUCACACUGAAUCAUCACUGCAUGGAACUGAAAAUUGUGGCCACCGAUCAGCCACGCGAAACAUGCAGAAAUGGAAAUAUGAACAGAGGGAGCCCAGCCAGGGCUCCAUCAGGCUCUCGACACAACAAGGAGCAGCUGCAAGUGGCAGAGGAAUGAGUUGGUGUUUUGCUUUGUCCUCCUCUGGCCCAGAUCAUGGACCAUUGCCACACAGUCUGAUGUGUCCUGGACCAUGCUAAAAGCUAAGAAAAGCAAAGCACAAUUAAUUUCAAAAGGAUGUUGUUUUUAUAACAUACUGUACUUUGGUGUGGUUAUUUCAUCUAUAGUGUAAUUUGUCCAGAUAAAACUUGUCUAGAAAUGACCUUACAGUCUGGGUAUGAUGCUGAUAGAGGAUACAUUCACACAUGCUUAUGCUCCCAGUGUCACAGCAGUGCUUGGCCAAGGAUCAGCUCCACAGAUGGAGCAGGCAAGUGCCCUUGCCCACUCUGCAGGUCUGAUCCUGCUCUGGGUGCAAGCUCAUGACAAGGUGAAAUCAGUCCCACCAACAAGAGCACAAGGAUAAUCCCUGGCUGCGAUGGCAACGCACUGCUGGCAGCAACACCAAACUUGUUAAUGGCAGUGGGACAUGUGUCAGAAGGGAUCGGUGCCUGUCAGAGCACAGAGAGGACUUUUAUCUCCUGUUUGGAUGUUCUCACUACCUUAAUGCUGAAGAAUUUAUCCAGGCAAGACCAGAUUAUCUCCAGGAGCAGUGUUGGCAAUUUCACGGAGACCAAGCCAGCUUCUACCAGUUGGCAAUCUGCCUGUAUAGACAGUCAGCGCGAAAGUUUUUAGAGCAUACAAGUAAUUGAAAUUAGUGAUGAGGAGGAUAUUUAUCUUUGUAUGGAUGGACCUUGGCAGUGUGAAGUGGGUCUUAAAAGGAGCAUCCACGUGGCACCCCCAAGAGACUUCUAGUCAAUACUUAAAGCUUUCACCGUAAAAGGUAGUUCCUAGCAUGGGAAAAGCUGGCAGUUCAAGCAGAGAAGGGCUGCAGCCCUCAGGUGUCCCUCUGAGCUGGAAUUACCAUACAGACACUUAAGUAAAAAUGAGAGUGGCGCUCAAACCUGACA
Molecule: long non-coding RNA, 2209 nt
Organism: Pezoporus flaviventris
Lineage: Eukaryota; Metazoa; Chordata; Aves; Psittaciformes; Psittacidae
Exons: 2
Source: RefSeq, a predicted model, not a curated record